Molecule: ribosomal RNA, 498 nt
Filed under: uncultured bacterium
Lineage: Bacteria
Description: partial 16S ribosomal RNA
Rfam family: Bacterial small subunit ribosomal RNA
Source: RNAcentral
AUUGAACGCUGGCGGCAUGCCUUACACAUGCAAGUCGAACGGUAACAGGUCUUCGGAUGCUGACGAGUGGCGAACGGGUGAGUAAUACAUCGGAACGUGCCCGAUCGUGGGGGAUAACGGAGCGAAAGCUUUGCUAAUACCGCAUACGAUCUACGGAUGAAAGCAGGGGACCGCAAGGCCUUGCGCGGACGGAGCGGCCGGUGGGAGAUUAGGUAGUUGGGGGGAUAAAAGCUUACCAAGACGACGAUCUGUAGCUGGUCGGAGAGGACGACCAGCCACACUGGGACUGAGACACGGCCCAGACUCCUACGGGAGGCAGCAGUGGGGAAUUUUGGACAAUGGGCGAAAGCCUGAUCCAGCCAUGCCGCGUGCAGGAUGAAGGCCUUCGGGUUGUAAACUGCUUUUGUACGGAACGAAAAGACUCUUUCUAAUAAAGAGGGUCCAUGACGGUACCGUAAGAAUAAGCACCGGCUAACUACGUGCCAGCCGCCGCCGUAA